RNAcentral lists this ribosomal RNA (548 nucleotides) under uncultured bacterium. RNAcentral's name for it is "partial 16S ribosomal RNA". It matches the Rfam family "Bacterial small subunit ribosomal RNA", at positions 355 to 895 of the family's 1533-position model. The record is from RNAcentral.
UGGGGAAUUUUGGACAAUGGGGGAAACCCUGAUCCAGCCAUCCCGCGUGUGCGAUGAAGGCCUUCGGGUUGUAAAGCACUUUUGGCAGGAAAGAAACGUCGCGGGUUAAUACCCCGCGGAACUGACGGUACCUGCAGAAUAAGCACCGGCUAACUACGUGCCAGCAGCCGCGGUAAUACGUAGGGUGCAAGCGUUAAUCGGAAUUACUGGGCGUAAAGCGUGCGCAGGCGGUUCGGAAAGAAAGAUGUGAAAUCCCAGAGCUUAACUUUGGAACUGCAUUUUUAACUACCGGGCUAGAGUGUGUCAGAGGGAGGUGGAAUUCCGCGUGUAGCGGUGAAAUGCGUAGAUAUGCGGAGGAACACCGAUGGCGAAGGCAGCCUCCUGGGAUAACACUGACGCUCAUGCACGAAAGCGUGGGGAGCAAACAGGAUUAGAUACCCGUGGUAGUCCACCGCCUAAACGAUGUCAACUAGCUGUUGGGGUCUUCGGACCUUGGUAGCGCAGCUAACGCGUGAAGUUGACCGCCUGGGGAGUACGGUCGCAAGAUU